CUUCCGGAAGCAGUACUAUCGUGGUUAUUCUUUCGAAAACUUUUAAGUAGGUCUUUCUGUUGUUCUUCCCAAGGUUGUUGCACAAUUGCGCUGCUUUCCUGUGGGGUGUCAUCACAGCCGUGUCAAUGAGAAGUGGGCAAUCAAGAAUUGAACAGCCUUGCUAUGUCAAGUGUCCUUUAUUUCUCUGAUGCUUUUGACAAGUUGUCCAAAGGGAGAAAUGGUAGUAACGGAAGUGAAGUGACAUGAAAAUGAAGGAAAAUGAAAUGAUCUGCUUCCUUACCCUGGUGGAAUACACAUUUCAAACGAGGGGUAGCAGAGAAGUAAGCACUGUAUUCUGUUGAAAAAUUAUUUUUUCAUCAUUUGGGUGGAGAGGGAAACCCUAAAAUGAUACGACCAUGUAUAAAGUCGGCAAUUUAUAGAGAAAAUGAAACUUUUUUCUCCGUUCUCUCCCCAGUCGUAGUACUUCACAAGGCCUUCCACAUCACUCUUACAUGUGUAUAAACAUGUUAUUUCGUUUCCUUGUGAAAGUGAGAGUAUAUAUGCAUACCAUUCUGUUAUCUGCGUUUUCAGAUAAGAAAAAAUAUAUGGCGGAAAUCUUGCCGUACAUAGCUCUACUUUAUCUUAACGUCAGCAUGGUAUUCUUUGACAGGUUGUACCAUAAUGUAGUUAACCAUCUCUUAACGUGACUUGCCCAUACAUUUUGCCCAUUAUUCUUCAGAAUUAUUUAUCUAUAUUCUAUUAGGGUGCAGAUAUAUUAAUUCUUUGUGAAAUAUAUGGCAGAUAUUUUCAAGAACUGUCAGUCUUUUGGUUUAAAAUACCCAGGCUUUCUGUUACUUAAGAAGGCAUUUCCCACUCAAAAAAUUAUUUUCCUGUAUUGUCUAUUCUUUUUUAGUUUUUUAUGCUUUAUUCAUUAAAAUAUCUGAAAAUUAUUUUUGUACAUUAUAUAAGGUAGGGAUUUAGCCGUUUUUCCUGAAAUCAUUUGUUGAAAUCAUUUCUUCUGACUAGAAUACUACUGUAUUAUAAUAAAUUUCCAUGUAUAUAUGGGUCUUUUAUUAUUAUUAUUCUUUUGCUUUAUUCUAUUUGUCUAUUCCUAUACAAAUACCAGUCUCCUGAUUAUAGCAUGUUCUAGUAGUUCAUAAAGCAAGUCCUUCAUUUAUCUUUUUCAAAAUUUUCUUGAAUAUUAUUGCAUUCUUUUUGAGGUAAAGUUUAAAGUAUAACUGUUCAUGUUUCAUUAAAAUAAUCCUUUGGGGGGCGCCUGGGUGGCUCAGUCGUUAAGCGUCUGCCUUCGGCUCAGGUCAUGAUCCUGGGGUCCUGGGAUCGAGCCCCACAUCGGGCUCCCUGCUCGGCGGGAAGCCUACUUCUCCCUUUCCCACUCCCCCUGCUUGUGUUCCCUCUCUCGUUGUCUCUCUCUCUGUCAAAUAAAUAACUAAAUAAAAAAAAUCGUUAAAAAAAUAAAAAUAAAUAAUAAAAUAAAAUAAUCCUUUGGGGGCACCUGGUUGGCUCAGUCAUUAAGCAACUGCCUUUCACUCAGGUCAUGAUCCCAGGGUCCUGGGAUCGAGCCCUGCAUUGGGCUUCCAGCUCCCGCUUGUGUUCCCUCUCUUGCUGUGUAUCUCUCUAAUAAAUAAAUAAGACUUAAAAAAAAAAAAAAAAAAAACAGGGCGCCUGGGUGGCUCAGUUGGUUAAGUGACUGCCUUCAGCUCAGGUCAUGAUCCUGGAAUCCCUGGAUCGAGUCCCGCAUCGGGCUCCCUGCUCGGCGGGGAGUCUGCUUCUCCCUCUGACCCUCCCCCCUCUCAUGUGCUCUCUCUCAUUCUCUCUCUCUCUCAAAUAAAUAAAUAAAAUCUUAAAAAAAAAAACUAUUAAAAUAAUCCUUUUGGAGGUUUUAGCUAUUAUAUUCACUAAUAUUUUGUGGCUGGUACCUAGAUGAGUGAUUCUAUAUCUGGCCAACUUUCUAAACUUACUAGUUUUUUUUGUUGUUUUUUUUUGUUGUUUUUAAAGAUUUUAUUUAUUUAUUUGAGAGAGAGAAUGAAACAGAGAGCAUGAGAGAGGGGAGGGUCAGAGGGAGAAGCAGACUCCCCGCUGAGCAGGGAGCCCGAUGCGGGACUCCAGGAUCAUGACCUGAGCUGAAGGCAGUCGCUUAACCAACUGAGCCACCCAGACACCCUAAACUUACUAGUUUUAAUAAAUUGUUUCCCUUGAAUUUUCUAGGAAGAGUCAUCUAAAUAUAAUCUUAUCUUUAUACUUCUUUUCUUUCUUUGAUUUAGUGAAUUGCUAGUUUCUCCAGCGCAGUGAUAUGUAGUAACAGUGAUUCUGGCCAUCCAUAUAUUAUUUCUUAGUUUGUGGAUGUUUUUACUAUGUCAUCAUUAAAUAAGGGGUUUACUAUUAAUUUCCAAUAAAUUCUGUUCAUCAAGGAAAUGUCUUUAAUAUUUCUAGCUUACUAGGAUUUUUGCAGAGAAUGGAUUUUAUUUUGUUUUAUUUUAGAGAGAGAGCAAGGGGGGAGGGGGCAGAGGGGGGGAGAGAGAGAAUCUCAAGCAGGCUUCAUGCUCAACUCAGAGCCUGAAGCGGGGCUCGGUCUCACGACUCUGAGAUCAUGACCUGAGCCGAAAUCAAGAGUCAGAUGCUUAACCUACUGAGCCACCCACACACCCCACAGAGAAUGGAUUUUAGGCCAAGGUUGUAUGUGUGUGUUUACAUUGACUAGCACAUUGAGAGCAUUUUGAAUAAUGGAUGUUGAGUGUUCAUUUGGUCUGUAUAUUUCUGGUUGUUAAGAUGAUGUCUUUCCAUUACAACUUAACUAAACAUUUUUAUUAGAAGUGGAAGUUGAAUUUUGUCAAAUGGCUUUUGGCAUCUGUCAUGACCUAUUAUGUGCUUUUCUUUGACCUCUUAGGAUGAUGGGUUAUUUUAUUUGAAUUCCAGUUUGUGAAUCCACCUUAUGUUUGGUUAUGGUGUAAUAUUUAAGCAUAUAGGUUUCUUUUUGGUAACAUUUUUACUUAAAAUCAGUAUUUGGGUAUCAUCUGUAGCCAUCAUUUUCUGUGUUAUCUUUGCCAGAGUUUGAUAUUAGGGUUAUGAGUUUCCUAAAAAAAACUGAGAAGAAUUCCUGCUUUCUCUGCACUGAAGUUAGUUUAAACGGCAUAAGAGCUCUCUGUUCUUAUAAGAUUUGAAAGAAUUCACUCAUGAAACCAUGUUGGCCUGAAAGUACAUUGUUCUUAAAAUAGCAACAAUAUUCAGCAAAAAGCCUCAGAACUUAAAAAAAGCAAACAAACAAAAAGUCCACAGAGUAAAUCCAAAUAAAGGGAAGAGUUUAAGAUACCAAUAUAUUGAAAACAACUUCUGUGUUGAUCCUGGUCAUUUUUCUCCCCUCCCCCACCUCUUUUUUUUUCCAUAGUCAGAGAAAAUGCUAUAUAGGUAGGCUGAGGCUGAUAAUAAAAUGUAUUGCUGUUCUUUCUUUCCUCCACUCCAGUUAUACUAUAAAGUAAAGGGUGUUGCGUCUACAUGGGCAAGCUCUUCUCUGCCCUGAAGGAAACCAGGAAUGACACUCAACUGGGAAAGCAUCAGUUUCACUUUGUUGUCAUUAGCUUCCCAAUUUUGUUGGGAAAUUUCUUUCUUUAGAGGUACUAACCGAGCUAACAUUCUACUGUAGCCAAAUCCCAUAGGAGAGUUUCAAAAUGAGUAGGUGAAAAAAAUACGCAAGCUCAGCAUGACGGUACUUACUUAAUAUGAAGUGAAAAUUAUUAACAUUAGCAUGGUCCAGAUAUGUGUGUGACAUGUGUAUUGUGUACUCUUUGGUAGGGUUAUUACCUUUUAUAAGUGAUUAUUUCAGACACUUUUUGAUCACUCAAGAAUAUGACCUUAAGCAGGUAAUGUAAUUUAUCAGUAUACAUCUGUAAACUGUGGAGGACUUCAAGACACUCAUAAGUGUUAUUUACAGAGAGAUGCAGGCAUUAUGUGAAUGCUUGCAUAUUUGAGUAUUUUAAUUGAUCGUAUAUCAGUCUAGAUAAAAUAAUUAUUGACAUGAUUUAGGAGUGUGCCAUAUAACAACGAAAGACUUUGCAUGUUUUUUAAAGCCAUACUCAUUAUCCAAAAGUAAAUGGUAAAUAAAAAUAAGUAGCCUGUGAUGUAAAACUUCACUAUUCUAACUAUUCUGACAUGAUGCAUUAACUGAUUAGCUGUACUGCUGUUUUGUAUUUUGUUUGUUUUCUGACACCUUAUAAGCAUGUAUAUUACUGUUUAAUUUCACUAGUUUGAGUUUCAUUAUGUCAGGCCAAAUUUUGAUUUCUGGUUCCUGUAGGAUUUAUGUUGUGGCCGCCAUUCCCCUUCCCCCCAUCUCCUUGCUGCUGUGGUUUUCACUCGUGGGUAGAGGGAAAGAGGAGGCUAUUAUCUAGAAUAGGUAACAAAAAUCUCUUUAUAGUCUGGGACCAAGAUUCUGAGUCAUUUUCAAAAAAAGAAUAGAGAAUAUUAAAUGAACUGCCUUGUGGGUAGAUGGCUAAUUAGUGUACAGUCUUUUGAACUAGAUGUGGUAUUUGACACUGUUCAGAACAGUUGAGGAGGACCGGAACAGGCAGCGGUACCAGGUCCUUUGCAACUGAAAACAAGCCUUUGGGACCCAUGUAAUACGUAUGUCAUAGUUUUUCAAUCCUUAGUCUAUAAAAACUUUUAAAAUUAUGGUGAAAUACAUAAAAUGUGAAAUUUACCAUCGUAACCAUUUUUAAAUGUACAGUUUUGUGGUGUUGAAUGUAUUUACAGUUGUGCAAACAAGAAUUCUUAAGGGACCUUAAGGGACUUUGUUUGUUUGUUUGUUUUUUGUUUUAAAGAAAAAGAGUCUGGGAAGUAAAUAAUACUUAUCUCAUAGGGGAAAUGUCCUGUAUAGUAACCUGAGUUUUCUUCCUUUUAUCCAGAGAUAUAUCUCUAUGAUAGUAAUUAUCAAUACUAAAUUAUGAGAGUAAACUGAGCACUGAUGAUCUGCAUUAGCUUUCACUUACUACCGAUACUUUUGGUUUGAAAAAAAAAGUGUCUAUGAAAAAUAGGUUGUGAAAACAAGGUCUGUCUUUCAAGUCAUUUCAGUAAGGAAUUAUUGGGAAUUGAGCAGAUAAAGAAGAAUAACAUGAGUUCUAUUUUGAUGGUUACUUAAGAAGUUGAAGUUUUAAGAAUCUUUGAAAUAUUUGCAUAGAGUGAGGUAUAGAGAAUUGUUCUCUGGAGCACACAACCGGGUAAUUUUGCUAGGGAGAGUGACUUGCUAAAUGGACAGAAAUCAGGGACUUAGGUCUCUUCAAAAUAAUAUGUUAUUUCAAAUCACUUGAAUAAAAUCACCUGCUCUUAUGGGAUAUUUAAAUGCUUGUAUUAUUCAUAGCCACUUGUUAUGUAGCAUUUCCUAUAAUAGAAUUUCAUAUAUUUCCUGUCACUAAAUUAGAAAUGCCUUUCCUUUGAUAUUGAUGGUUCUUGGCUUUUUAAAAUCCUUCUCUCCUUUUUCAUAAACGUUAAAAUCUCACACAUCCAAGGAGAUUUAAUAUUUGUUCCUUCUUCCCACAGUCUUCUCUUACACCUCCUCAUACUGAAUAUAAACUUGGCUCUUGUAGUUCCCCCAUCUAAGAAUAUUCUGCAGAGCACUACUUUAUAUGAUUUAUGAAAACAGAUUUUUAUUAUUAAAUAGCCAUUUUAAACUGCAUAAACCCCAUUCUACCCCCCAUCUCCAUAUUUUAACAUGAUCCUUACUCAGGAGAGGAUACUCCUUAGGAAGCUGAGGAAGCUAACUGAACAGUGCCAUGUUUCUGUUUACCUUGGGGUAGAACAUCGUGCCAUGCCCAAUUUCUCUUUUGGUGUUAUACUGUUUGGUUGUGCACUUCAACUCCUAGAAUUUGAUAAACAGUUUGAGAGAAAGAAGUACUACUGGACCAAAAAAAAAGGAAGUAAGGCAAAGCUGAGACACAUGGGUGUGGUCUUUGUGAAAUCUUUGAACGCUUAGAAGAUAACACAAAAAGUUUCACCAAGUCCGAACAUCCAGCAAAAUGGGGAGCCUGGUCUGGGGAGGUUUGGGGUUGAUCUUUGGGGGGUUCAUCUUACCUUGUUUAUCCUGAUACAUUUAGCAUACUACCAGCUUAUGGAAAAAAUAUAAAAUCAAAAUUCUGACACUGCUGGAUCAAUGGUAUUUCAGUUUCUAUUAUUUCAGCUGCCUGACUGCAACACAGUCACAGUUCUAGUGCAGUGUGCUAUGGGUAUAUCAGAAAGUGAGACCAGAAAUGCAAACUGUUAUUUUGGAGAAUUGGCUGCUUAUGUUAGGGAACUCUCUUAAGAGUGGGAAAUGAUUAUAACUGUUAGGAGUGACAGUUCUUUUCCAUUACCUUUCUUUAAGUGGGGAAAACACACAGACUUUUUUUUUUUUUAAUAUUUUAUUUAUUUAUCAGAAAGAGAGAGAGAGCACAAGCAGGGGGAGCAGCAGAGGGAGAGGGAGAAGCAGGCUCUCCGCUGAGCAGGGAGCCUGAUGUGGGACUCGAUUCAGGGACCCUGGGAUCAUGACCUGAGCUGAAAGCAGACGCUUAACUGACUGAGCCACCCAGGCAUCCCAUGGACUUUUGAGUGUCUUUAAAAAAUUUACCCUAAGACAAGAUGUCCUUUUAUUUAAGUGUAUUUACUAUGUUAUUGACUAGUGCUUUUUGCUUCUGAUGAUUUUCAUGGGUGAAAAAGUGAACACAGAGCUAAAAUACAAAAAGGGGGUAUCUUCCACUAAUUUACUUACCUCUUCUUUUGCUAAGGUGCCAACUUUUCUGAAAUAGAAUGUGAAUGCUUAUUAUUAUUCAUACCCUAAGGGGUUGGAAAAGCAGAUGACUUUCUUUUCUAGGGUGGAGUGGAAGAGGUAGCUCCAGGUGAUUUCCUCCCCCCAUCCUGAAACUUCUUUGGAUUUAAAGUGGCCUCUUACCACAAGUGUAAACCUGGCAGACCACUUACCUAGACACAGUAGUCUCAGCAGUGGGCGAAACCCAACAGAGGGGCCUUUCCCACCUCCCAAAUCACCCAUACUUGUCUCUACCCCACAAAAAAUAGACCUUACUAAAGCCUUAUAAAUCAUUCAGGGUGGAGGUGGUGAGAAUCUGAUACCUUUAAGCCUGUGAUUCUUUUUUUUUUUUUUUAAGAUUUUAUUUAUUUAUUUGACAGAGAGAGAGAACACAAGCAGGGGGAAUGUCAGGCAGAGGCAGAGGGAGAGGCAGGCUCCCCGCAGAGCAGGGGGAGCCUGAUGUGGGACUCGAUCCCAGGACCCUGGGAUCAUGACCUGAGCCAAAGGCAGUCGCUUAACCAACUGAGCCACCCAGGCGCCCAAGCCUGUGAUUCUUUUCCAAACUUGAAAUCCCAAAAUAUAUAACUAAUCAAAGUUGAGUUGUUUUGAUUGAGCUGGGCAAUUGGUGGAACAUUGUUUUGCUUUACACACCCCCAGCCUCAGUAGAGCUCUGGAAGCACCGCUACCUACUUUAUUAUUUUAUUUAUUCAGGAUUGGUUAACAAUCACUUGGCAGAAUACUGGUUACCAAAGAUAGCAGGCUUAAGAUACUUUAUAUAUGAAAUAAGAAGUUCGUUUAAGAAGAAGAGGCUGGGAGGAAUUAGAGUAUCACUUCAGAAGAUUCAACAUCCAGAUAGAGGAGUCCCACAAAGGAAUACAGAAGGAAAGAAAUUGCCCAAAAAAUAAUUGAAGAAAAUUUCCUAGAAGUGAGGGGUGAACCAGGUGAGUUAAGUACAAGAUCAGGAAUCAAAAUGGCUCUGGACUUCCACAAAAACAAAUGGAAGCUAGAAGACAGCAUAGCAAAGCUAUGACCUGAAUCCUUACUUUGCAUAGUGAAGACAAGUAAAACUGAAAAAUCAGUAAUGGCAAUAUUAGUAUGUUAUUUAGAGAUACCAAGAUAAAUCCCAGAAAGAACCAAAGGAGCUAAAAAUUGUUGCCAAGAUGAAGCAGGAAAUGAGGGGAAAGAGAGAGCAAGAGAUUUACAGUUUUUCUUAAGCCUUGUAAAACUCCUUGACUCCUUAAAAUAUAGAUAUGUAUAGCUUUGGUUAAAAAUAAAAUAAAAACUAAAUUAGUGAAAAGAGCUAGAGAUUGGACUUUCAUAUCAGAGAGACCUGGAUUUAUCUGGGUCUUUCAUUGUCUAAUUCUUUGACCUUAGUCAAUUUAUAUAAACUUUUGAAGCUCGUUUUCUUUAUAUAGAAAGAAAGGGAAGAUAAUCUAUGCUCCUGCAGAAGAAAAAUUAAAAUAAGAUAGUUUAUAUAAAGCACCUGGCAAGUAAUAUUACCUCAGUAGGUAUCAAUCCCUCCCCCAUCCCUAAUGUUUCCCAUGAGGAAAUAGGGAAAUGCCUCUUUCAUUGUUAGAAUGCUUGUCAUUCAAACACAAAACUGAAAUUGUCCUUAUGGUCUGGGGUUGUGUCCCUUUCUGGAUUGAAGGCAUGUCAUUGAGUUCUAUGCCCUUUCUCAACUAUUUAUAGAUAGUUUGAGAAUUUAGAUAGAAUUGAGAUGAUUAGAGUAUUGGUGGGUGGAGCAUCAAGUGAAAAGGGCCAUUGCUACUUGGUAGGAGAAGAGCUAUGGUCACACUCAAAUUUCUUUCUCAACAUGAACUUUGGUGCAAAUGCCAUUAGUGGAGUCGCUUCCAUUAACAGAGGAAACACUUGUAUAGACUGGUAAGUUGUGGAAAUUUCAGGGAACCAAGAUCGUUAGAGUGCUAUUGCUCUGGGCCAUCUGCCAAAGUAUCAAAAUACCUUUUUUUUCUUUCUUUUUUUAAGAACAUCUUCUACCUUAGCAACUGCUAUUUUUGUUUCCAAAUUCUAUAUACUUCUUCUGGAACAAUUCAAAAAGCAGAUCACUGUGGAACAAAAAAGACACUUUAUAAAAAGUCUGUUUCCCUGCCUUGGUACAUAUUUGUAUAGUGUUAUACAGAGUACACCGCUUUUCCAGUUAUGAAUUGACCCCCUAUGGCAGUGAUUCUAAAAUUGUCUCACAACUGCUCUUCCCUCUUCUCCCCUUUACCCCCCACAAAAAAUUAUCCAAGAAGUCUUGGACAGGUUUGCUGAUCUGUUUUUUUAAACCACCCUGGAUGAUUCUAUUGACCCAUGUUGUACAGUACGUUCUACCCUAAGCAUCCUAAACUGGGGCAGAUGAGGGAACUGAGGUCCACAGGAAGGUUAAAUGACUUGUUCACCCUCACCGAUCAACAAGCGUGUAUUCUAUACUCCCAAAUCUGAUUUUAUCUUUGGUUGACCAGGCUUUUUAAUUUUUCUUUCUAAUGUUCAAAUUGUCUUAAUAAAGAAGAAGCUAAUUUAUACAGGAUGUGGUCUCAAUUAAAAAUUAAGUUUGGGAUCUUUAUUUUAUAGCAUCUUUUUAUUUUUUCCAGAUACAAAAAGAAUGAAAAAAGUGAAAAUUUUUAAUAAACUCUUGUUUCCCCACAGUAGGGUAGCACAGCAAAUGUUAAGAUUUACUAGGUCUGAAUAUUCACAUUUAAGAAAAACUGGCUUUGAAAAGAGUGGAAACUCGGUCAAUUUGGGCACAGAUGCAGGUUGGAGAGGUUGGUUUGUCAGGAUACCCAGGGAUUUAGGGGUCCUGUCUUCAGGGGUAUUCAACAACUGGAAUAAGAGUGUGUUACAUGGUAUUAUAUCUGGUUUUAAACUUUUAUCAUACUAAACAUUUAAAGUCACACCCUAAACAUCUUGGGAAUGACUGGAAAUAGAGAUCUGGAAAUCUCUGAAACCUUAUUUAUUUUCUCAUUGGAGUUCUCACAAUUACUUCUAAAAAAACAAGUUGUGACUUGCAAACAUUUGCCCAACAGCCUCGAGGUGUCCUCAGGGAAAUUAAAAGCAGGGGUAUGAAGAGCUGGGGAGUCCCGUGCCAGUGUUUAAGAGCACAGAGUACAGCUUUAUAAUUAUAUAAGCUUUUGCCUGUUCCCAUUUAUCAUCGGUAGUAUUCUCAAGACUAAGUGACCGCUCAGCAAUUUAAACUGUGAUUUAAGAGAAAAUAGGCCUUUUUAUGAAAAGGUCCCCUAUCUGUCUCCUAAAGUUUUAUAUCUUCAUAGAAGAACUCUUUCCUUUCAUAGUGGUUUUGUUUUGUUCUGAUACAGUAAAUGACACACAGAUGCUGGAGGGGUCCCUAAUCUGUUAACUUGUGAGAUUUUAUUUUAUUUUUUUUUUUAAGAUUCUAUUUAUUUGAGAGGGAGAGAAAACAUGAGAGAGAGAGCGCACAAGCAGAGUGCACAAGCAGGGUGGAGUGGCAGGCUGCCAGCUCAGCCUUACGCAGGACUGAUCCUAAGACCCCAGGAUCAUGACCUAACCAAAGGCAGAUGCUUAACGAACUGAGCCACCCAGGCACCCCAACUCAUGAGAUUUUAACGACUUCUUCAAAAGCAACUUUUCCUUUUAUGAAUCUUGUGCAGCCUGUGACAUCUCAUACAUUAUUGUGUUCUGUUUGGGGGGACUCUUUCAGGAUUACUGAAAAUAUUUUUUUUUUCCAAACUCUUCUGGUUAAGACCAGAAGAUAGGUACAAACCAUCCUACUCCUGUGCAAGAUCAUUAGUAAUUCUACUUUCUUGUCAUAAAUUGGGCGGAGUAGAAGGGAGGAGAUUUCAAAAAGAAUGCAUUCAGACACUUUACCAGAGAGUUAUUUUCCUGUUAUUUAACAGCAUGUAAGGGUUAACAGAACAGAGCAUUAGAUAACAUUCCUACCGUUUUGCCUAAUAGUCUCUUUACAUAAGAUAACAGACUUCUGCUAAAAUGCCUUAGUGUUUUAUGCAUUCCUUAGUUUAUUAUGUACCUUCUUACAUUGUCCAGAUAGUAAGUGGCCCUAUCCUCUUUUUUGCUUUAUAUUUGAGAGGAAAAGAGUGUACAUCUUGUGACAUGAAGUGACAUGAUAAUAAAUAUUACUUCUUUCUCCACUAUUUUCCUUUCAAAAAUUUGGUUUUUUUGGUAAAAAGAUUUGAGCUUGGUUGACUGUCCAAGGACUUACUAGUAUCAGAGGACAUUCGAAACAGGACUUUAAGAAUAGGGAUAUAAGCAGGAGGGAAGCCAUACUUAAUAUAUAUUUGUUCCUCUAGAUUUUGUUAUCACUCAGUUGGCACAUUUUUCCUGCCCUGUUGUUAAUUAUAUGUCUUCUAUAGUACUCUGUCCAAAAGUGUAUUCAAUAUCUUUCUUCCCAAAACAUUUUUCUUCCUGUUUCUCUAUCUGGCUAUCAUCACUGUCUGCCUAGUAUUUUGAAAAAUAUGGCUGGUGAACUAUUUUCAACAAAGUCACCUGGGUUACUUAUUAAAAUGCAGAUUCCAGGACCCCAUCCCAGGCCAGCUGAUUCAGAAUUGCAGGAACCUGAAUGCUGCCUUCCUGUCGAUCCACUUGGCCAACAAAUCCCAUUGAUUCUGACUUAGAAAUGUCUCUUUAAUGUAUUCCAUCUUUCACUUCCCCUGCUCUUGUUCAAGCCCAUCUUUCACCCAGACUACAGCAAUAGUUUCCUAUGGAUAUCCUCACUUUGUCUCCCUCAUUAGUUUGUAUUCCACAAUGGGUAUCCAGUUUACCUUUCUAAAACAUGUUUAUCUCCUGCUUGAAAAUCCUCCAUUACUUUUUUUUUUUAAGAUUUAUUUAUUUUAAAGAGAAAGAAUGUGCUUGCACAUGAGCAGGGGGAGGGGCAGGCGGAGGGGGAAAACCCUGAAGCAGACUCCCCACCAAAGUCAAGAGCAAGAUGCUUAACUGACUGAGCCACCCAGGCACCCCCAAAAUCCUGCAUUACUUCUCAAUGUCAGGUUAAAGUCUAAAUUUAUUAGAGUAACAUUCAGGGUCCACUACAAUCUGGCCAUAACUGAGUCUGCUGCAUAUAGUUUAUGCACUUAGUACUCUCUGUAACUCUAGGGGGUUCCAUUCCAAUUACGGUCUGCCUGAGUGGUGCCCCUAGGGUUUUUGUAGUGCAGCACAAUCAUACAUGGUAGCCCUGACCAUUCUGUCUUAAUACCCUCACCUCUCCAUCUUCUGUACACAUCUUAGACUUACAUAAAUAGGAUACCUCCAGUCCCUAAAUGCACUAUACUAGUGACUUCUCAAUGCCUCUCCUCUUUCAGAGUGAAUAUUCUUUCCUCCCACUCAUUCUCUGCUUGUUGAAAUCCUCAUGUUUCAGGGCCUAGUUUAAGUGUCAGAUCCUCUAUGAAGCCUUCUACAAUCCCUCUCAUUUUAAUUGUUUUUCCUAUUGAGCUGUUACCCUGCUUAUACCUUUUAUUUAACAGUUCUUUUUUCUUUUUCUUUUGAGAUAAAACUUAUAUGCAGUAAAUCUUCAGUGAACCAUUGGGCGAAUUCCUGCAAAUGCUUCUACCUGUGCUUCCCAGACCCCUAUCAAGAUAUGAUCAUACCUUUUUACACAUUUAUAAUUGGCCUGCUAGUAUGGUUAAUCAUUUUCAUGCUUGUCUGCCUUACUAAAUUAUAAGCUCUAAUUAGAGAAAAAAAACAAAGACUAUGACUUUGUCUCUUUCACUUGGAAAAAAGGAGCACAUACGAUGUAUUCAGCACUGAACCAGUGUUGACUGUUGUACCAGUUAGUAAACAACUCUGCUCCUCUCAAGAUAUUCUCAAAGACAGUGGCUUAAAUAAGACAGAAAUUUUAUUUCUUUCACAUACUUCAAUUUAAAGUAUAAGUUGUCCAGUGCUGAUCUGGCAGCUCCACGGUGUCAAGGACCUAGACAUCUUCAUUCUUGUUCCUGCAUCCCCUUGUCCUUCCACCAUCCCUGAAGUGUUACCACCCGUUCUAGGUGACUCACCACAACAUCCCAUCCAGCUGGGGAAGGGAAAAAAGUGAAGAGCUCCUCUUGGAAGUUGCACUUACUUGCCAAUGACCAGAACAUAGUCACCUGACCAUACCAGUUAAAAGUCAGGAAUAUUAGAGAAGAGAAUAGAUACUGAGGAACAGAUAACAUACAUACUUCAUAUAUGGUUUCAUUUAAUCUUCAUAAUAACACUGCAAACUAUGUAGCAUAAGAAAACUAAUAUCAGAGAAGCCAAGUAAAUGGCUAGAAAAUUGCAGAUAGGAGAUCUGAAUCCAAAGCCUUUACUUUUUUCAUUCUACGUAGUUAAGUGUUAGGAGGACGUACAUAAAUGUUACUAAAUAAAUAAAGUCAUCUUUACAGUGUUAUUUCACAUAUUUUUAUAUCACAUAGUUUCACAGUAUCAUAUCAUCUCUUUAAUUCCAGGACACCCUAUAUAACUUUACUCCAUGCUUCUCACCAUCUUGAAAUGCCAUAUCAGCUGGUUUGUAACCAAGGCCUAGUUUAUAGUACAAUUUAAGACAAAAUGACUACUUCUUUUAAAGCUAUGAUAUCAUAUGAGGAAAAGUAUAUCACUGUAUUUCCCAAGCAAUAGCUUCAAUACUCUGUAUUUAUUUGGAAAUGCUAUAUAAUCAUAAAGUUGAAGGAGAUUAUAUUAUUUAGCCCCUUAGUUUUAUUUAUUUUUUUCUAAAGAUUUUUAUUUAUUUGAGAGAGGGUGAGAGAGAGAGAGAGAGACCACGCUAAGGGAGAGGGGCAGAGGGAGAAGCAGGCUCCCCACUGAGCGUGGAGCCCAAUAUGGGACUCAGUCCCAGGACCCUGGGAUCAUGACCUGAGCCAAAGGCAGACGCUUAACCAACUGAGCCACCCAGGCGUCCCCAGCCCCUUCAUUUUAAAAGAAAGGAAAAUUGAGGUUCAUUGAAGAUACAAGACUUAUCCUUUAUUUCAUUCUCAUUGCUGCUGCUUUUCAAGCAUCAUGGGAAGAGCACUAGCCUAAUCAGUCAUUUCUGUAAGUAACCUUCGUUGUUAUACUAAAGAAUUGUCUCAGGUUUGCAGAGUUGUAUGAUUAGAAAAAUCAAGGGGCGCCUGGGUGGCUCAGUUGGUGAAGCACCUGACUCUUGAUUUCAGCUCAGGUCAUGAUCUCAGGCCUGAGAUGAAGCCUCAGGUGGGGCUUCUCGCUCAGCAGGGAGUCUGCUUGAGAUUCCCUCUCUCUCUUCUCCCCUCCCCUUGCAUGUGCACACUCUCUGUUUCCCAAAAAAAUAUUAAAAAAAGAAAGAGAAAAAUCAAGCUGAACAAUGCAUAAAGAAAUGCUUAUUAUCCUAGCCUUUUUUAGUGAAGAAUGGAUAUUAUCUAACACUAAAAACAUCUUUAUAGCCCUUGGGAACCUGUUCUAGAAAGGAUCAGUAUUUGAUAAUCAAAUAAAAGGAAUGGGUGAGAUCAUACCUAUCCAUAAUUCAAAACCUAGUACAAAUGUUACCUACCUCUCAAAGCCUUUCCUAAACCUCAAAAAUAGAUGUAACCACUUUCCUCUCCCAAUUCUAUAGCCUUUGGAUACCUCAGGGUACAUAUAUAUACAGUUUAAGUUAUAGCUAAUGGUACCUUUGGGAAGAUAGGUUUCAUGUUUCUUUUGUUCUCAGUGUCAGUGGUGCCCAGUACAGGCUUUGCUCUUACUUGGCAAUGUUUUAUCAAAUGAACAUAUCCACCAUGGCACCCUGGGAGAAUACUUUGCAGUUGCCUUCAUUUGUUUUGUUUUGUUUUAAGAUUUAUUUAUUUAUUUAUUUGACAGAGAGACAGCAAGACAGGGAACACAAGCUGGGGUGGGGAUGGGAGAGGGAGAAGCAGGCUUCCUGCUGAGCAGGGAGCCUGAUGCGGGGCUCAGAUCCCAGGGUCCUGAGAUCUUGACCUGAGCCGAAGGCAGAUGAUUGAUGACUGAGCCACCCAGGCGCCCCUGCAGUUGCCUUUAAUAAUCAGUCCUUGAAUGAAGAAUUUCAAAGCUGUAGUCCCAGUUCCCGUGCUUAUCGCUUUGUAGCUCUAGGCAAGUCGUUUAAUGCCUCUGAGCCCUUAUCAGUCAGAUGGGAAUGUGAAUAAUAGAAAAUAAAGAAUUGGUGAAAAAACUUUGUAAAAGGAACACAGCUCUAAGGUGGUACUCUCUGAAGCCCCUUGCCACACUCCACAAAAGUGCCUAACAUGUAGCAAGUAAACAUAAACUUUAUUUUUCCUAAUUGAGUUGAAUAGUAAUGGGAUCCAUUUAUUAAUAUCUAAGUUUGGUCCUAGCAGUUGGCAAACCUUUGUUGGAGCUGGAAAACUUUACCAAGGGAAGAUAAAAUUAUCUUCCUUGCGUAGGCUGCCUCUCCUACCCUAGGACAGUUUCGUUAUUGAACCAAGGGAUUAAUGAAAGAGGAAGCAGCCUGCUGCCCAGGGAUUUUCUUGGUGCUUCCUCCUGGGUGGGCAUACGCUGGACCUGGGAGACAGAACAGGAACUUGCUGUCCUUCAUUUUCCUUCUCACAGGAACCACCCAGGGGGGGGAAAAAAGGAACUACUGCCAGAGCGACAGAUGUGGGUGGAUAGGGACUCUCCUGGGUUCAGGGGGAUUGCCCUGGGUGGGUGGGGGUGCUUUGCAUUCCGCUUGCCAGGUACCUUCUGGGGUAUCAGUGACUUAGUCUUUUCCUCCUGUAGUGGAAGGAAACCAGCAAAUCAGACCCAGAAUAAAGAAAUUACCAUGGAAGGCUUUCUUAAAAAUGCACUUAAAAGAGUGAAACCAUAACUAGAAGAGUGCUUCCAAGGCAGAGGUUGCUUUAGCUUGGAUCUCCUGGGUUUAAGCAAUGAGAUUUGGGUUUGAGCAUGUUUACUAUAAAUAAAACCAUUUCCCUGGAGCCUGGCAAGUUUUGCAGCAGGCAUACCAAAAUGUAAUUGAAAUGUGACUGCCUCUUAAAUUGUGAAAUUAAUUUUACACUUAACAAAUGCUUUAAAAAAAAAUAGAGGAACAAGUGGCUUUAAAGUUCAGGGUGUUAAUAUUUGAAAUCUGUCCAAUUUAAUUAGUUGGGUCCCAGUGACUUUUUCUCUGGUCAGUGUCACUGAUCUAACACCCAAUUCUCUUCUUGAUUGUGAGAUAGAAAUUAAUUGUAUCAUUUAUUUAGUUGUAUUGACCUGAAUCGUAUCUCUCCAGCAUACAUUAUUUCAGGAAAUAGGAUGCAUCCAUGUGGAAUUUACUCAGUAACUCUUCUUAGUGACAUUUGUGUGAUCUAAUUCAAGGACCUGUAGUGAAGCCUUCACAUGAUUUACUUGCAUAUGAUGCAGCUGUGUUUAGUAUUGCAUUUACAUUUUUAAAAACAAGAAUGCACCUUCUUGAUGGAACAGACAUGCAUUUUUAGACUCAGCAGACUCAAGAACUGUAGAACAAAGAAGUUUCUUCAAAAUCAAGUCCAAACAUCUUUUUUGUAUUGGAGAGAAAGAAACUUGGGUUCAGAAACAUUUAGUGGCCCUGAAUCAAGGUCACAGUCAUUCAGUGAUAGAACAAAAUAAGAAACUAGAUGGGUUUCCAAUUCAAGGUUCUUGUUUGU
Molecule: long non-coding RNA, 16302 nt
Organism: Mirounga angustirostris (Northern elephant seal)
Lineage: Eukaryota; Metazoa; Chordata; Mammalia; Carnivora; Phocidae
Exons: 2
Source: RefSeq, a predicted model, not a curated record